This 217-nucleotide long non-coding RNA is filed under the name Vigna radiata. RNAcentral describes it as "long non-coding RNA (VRAD_LNC007467)". The record is from RNAcentral. Lineage: Eukaryota; Viridiplantae; Streptophyta; Magnoliopsida; Fabales; Fabaceae.
UGAAAUGAGGAGCAAAAGGUUUUAACUAUAGUGAGAGAGUUAACCAGUUAUGCAGUGUUAUGCAGUAUGGAAUGAAAAGUGUUGUUGUGCACAUUUUCAUGCUCUUUCAUACCAUUAUCAAUGCUUGAUUUACAUUUAGUAUAAACACAGACACACAUCAUGCUGCCUCUACACCACUUUUCCACCUUUCAGAAUUUCCUCUCAGACUGCAAUGGGG